Molecule: non-coding RNA, 291 nt
Organism: Aegilops tauschii subsp. strangulata
Lineage: Eukaryota; Viridiplantae; Streptophyta; Magnoliopsida; Poales; Poaceae
Source: RefSeq, a predicted model, not a curated record
CUCUGCUUCCUCCUACCUUGCCCCCCUCACGUGGGCGUGCUGGACUUCGAUGACGGUACACCACCAGAAGAUGCUUGGAGAAGAAAAUUAAGUAGUCAGGCUAAUAGACUGAAGGAGUUCAAUGUUACGUUCAGAGAAGCAUUUAAAAUGAUGAAGCUUGGUCUCCGGCUUUGGUCAUAUGUUCGAGAAGAAGCUUCUCAUGGAAGGAAAGCACCGAUUGAUCCAUUCACGAGGGAGAGCAGGAAACCAUCAGCCUCACAAGGAGUACCCCUUGGUGGGAUGGGCUGUGUG